CUGAGGAGGGGUCUCAUUUGCAAAAUUAACAAGGGGCUAGGGUGAAAACCCUAUCCGCCUCUUCAACCACCCCUCUUCCCUCUGUCUCCACUAUCCCAAUGCCGGUUUUAAGGUGGCGUAGGCGUGUGAGACGCGGUAAUGGCAGUGAAGAGGACGAAGCAUUUAUUGCUUCGUCCUUUUUUCACAUUUUCUUCUAUUAAAUCCUUCCAAGCAAUCCCAUAAGGUUGAGUGUAAAUUUUUGGGGUUCUACCAUACUUGAGAAGAAAGAAGAUGGAGGAAGAGGAGAAGAAAAAGAAAGGAAUUUUUGGCAUUAGAAGCUUAAUAAAAAAUUGAGCUUUGCAAAGGGUCAAAAAUUCUGAUUUUGAGUUUCUUUAAGUGAGAAUCUCCAGUUUUAAAAGUUUUAAAGUUUUAAUUUUUAUUUUUUGUUUGUUCUGGCUGAGUUUGGAGUAGGAAGGAAAGCUUUCUAGUCCAUUCUUGAUCUGCGGCUGCACCUAAAAAAGGUAUUUCCUUAUCAUUUUAUUGCUUUCAUUAGUUUUCUUGUUUGAUUUAUGGAUUAGUCCGUUUUGUUAGUUUUCUUGUUUACUUGAUGGAUUAUUGUUUUUAUUAGUUUUUUCUUAUUUUAUUGAUGGAUUAGUCUGUUUGUUA
Lycium ferocissimum is the source of this 645-nucleotide long non-coding RNA. RefSeq lists it as uncharacterized. The transcript is spliced from 2 exons. The record is from RefSeq and is a predicted model, not a curated record. NCBI's taxonomy places the organism in Eukaryota, Viridiplantae, Streptophyta, Magnoliopsida, Solanales, Solanaceae.